GUAGGUGAACCUGCGGAAGGAUCAUUAAUGAGUUAGGGUCUUCUAGGCCCGAUCUCCAACCCUUUGUAUAAAUACCAUGUUGCUUUGGCGGGCCCGUCUUUAACCGGACCGCCGAAGGUUUUUAAACCUUUGGCCAGUGCUCGUCAAUAGCCCACAAUCAAAUUCUUUUAACCAUGUCAAAUCUGAAAACUAGUUAAAUAAACUAAAACUUUCAACAACGGAUCUCUUGGUUCUG
Molecule: unclassified non-coding RNA, 235 nt
Filed under: rhizosphere metagenome
Description: partial ribosomal RNA internal transcribed spacer region
Source: RNAcentral